Molecule: ribosomal RNA, 144 nt
Filed under: Gymnodinium sp. Dino3
Lineage: Eukaryota; Dinophyceae; Gymnodiniales; Gymnodiniaceae
Description: partial 18S ribosomal RNA
Rfam family: Eukaryotic small subunit ribosomal RNA
Source: RNAcentral
CGCUCCUACCGAUUGAGUGAUCCGGUGAAUAAUUCGGACUGAUGCAGUGCUCAGCUUCUGAACUUUGCAUUGGAAAGUUUAGUGAACCUUAUCACUUAGAGGAAGGAGAAGUCGUAACAAGGUUUCCGUAGGUGAACCUGCGGA